This 514-nucleotide ribosomal RNA is filed under the name uncultured soil bacterium. RNAcentral describes it as "bacterial SSU rRNA". It matches the Rfam family "Bacterial small subunit ribosomal RNA", at positions 26 to 517 of the family's 1533-position model. The record is from RNAcentral.
AGAUUGAACGCUGGCGGCAGGCCUAACACAUGCAAGUCGAGCGGCAGCACGGGUACUUGUACCUGGUGGCGAGCGGCGGACGGGUGAGUAAUGCCUAGGAAUCUGCCUGAUAGUGGGGGAUAACGUUCGGAAACGGACGCUAAUACCGCAUACGUCCUACGGGAGAAAGUGGGGGAUCUUCGGACCUCACGCUAUCAGAUGAGCCUAGGUCGGAUUAGCUAGUUGGUAGGGUAAAGGCCUACCAAGGCUACGAUCCGUAACUGGUCUGAGAGGAUGAUCAGUCACACUGGAACUGAGACACGGUCCAGACUCCUACGGGAGGCAGCAGUGGGGAAUAUUGGACAAUGGGCGAAAGCCUGAUCCAGCCAUGCCGCGUGUGUGAAGAAGGUCUUCGGAUUGUAAAGCAACGUUUAAGUUGGGAGGAAAGGUCAAGUUAACCUAAGUUACGUUAGUGUUUUGACGUUUACCGAUAAGAAUAAGCACCGGCUAACCUCUAGUCGACCAGCCAAGCCCG